Molecule: transfer RNA, 71 nt
Filed under: Jeotgalibacillus malaysiensis
Lineage: Bacteria; Bacillati; Bacillota; Bacilli; Caryophanales; Caryophanaceae
Description: tRNA-Thr (CGT) (tRNA-Thr-CGT-1-1)
Rfam family: tRNA
About the family: Transfer RNA (tRNA) molecules are approximately 80 nucleotides in length. Their secondary structure includes four short double-helical elements and three loops (D, anti-codon, and T loops).
Source: RNAcentral
GCCCGGUUAGUUAAACGGUAUAACGGCUGAAUCGUAAUCAGCAGUUAUCGGUUCAAUUCCGGUACUGGGCU